This 446-nucleotide ribosomal RNA is filed under the name uncultured bacterium. RNAcentral describes it as "partial 16S ribosomal RNA". It matches the Rfam family "Bacterial small subunit ribosomal RNA", at positions 338 to 795 of the family's 1533-position model. The record is from RNAcentral.
CCUACGGGUGGCAGCAGUCGAGAAUCAUUCACAAUGGGGGAAACCCUGAUGGUGCGACGCCGCGUGGGGGAAUGAAGGUCUUCGGAUUGUAAACCCCUGUCAUGUGGGAGCAAAUUAAAAAGAUAGUACCACAAGAGGAAGAGACGGCUAACUCUGUGCCAGCAGCCGCGGUAAUACAGAGGUCUCAAGCGUUGUUCGGAAUCACUGGGCGUAAAGCGUGCGUAGGCUGUUUCGUAGGUCGUGUGUGAAAGGCGCGGGCUCAACCCGCGGACGGCACAUGAUACUGCGAGACUAGAGUAAGGGAGGGGGAACCGGAAUGCUCGGUGUAGCAGUGAAAUGCGUAGAUAUCGAGAGGAACACUCGUGGCGAAGGCGGGUUCCUGGACAUUAACUGACGCUGAGGCACGAAGGCCAGGGGAGCGAAAGGGAUUAGAUACCCCUGUAGUC